This 393-nucleotide ribosomal RNA is filed under the name uncultured bacterium. RNAcentral describes it as "bacterial SSU rRNA". It matches the Rfam family "Bacterial small subunit ribosomal RNA", at positions 30 to 420 of the family's 1533-position model. The record is from RNAcentral.
AUUGAACGCUGGCGGCAUGCUUUACACAUGCAAGUCGAACGGCAGCACGGGGGCAACCCUGGUGGCGAGUGGCGAACGGGUGAGUAAUAUAUCGGAACGUACCCGGAAAUGGGGGAUAACGUAGCGAAAGUUACGCUAAUACCGCAUAUGCCCUAAGGGGGAAAGCGGGGGUUUCGCAAGAACCUCGCGUUUUCGGAGCGGCCGAUAUCGGAUUAGCUAGUAGGUGAGGUAAAGGCUCACCUAGGCGACGAUCCGUAGCUGGUCUGAGAGGACGACCAGCCACACUGGAACUGAGACACGGUCCAGACUCCUACGGGAGGCAGCAGUGGGGAAUUUUGGACAAUGGGGGGCAACCCUGAUCCAGCCAUGCCGCGUGAGUGAAGAAGGCCUCGG